AACGAACGCUGGCGGCAUGCCUAACACAUGCAAGUCGAACGAGAACUUCGGGUCUAGUGGCGCACGGGUGCGUAACGCGUGGGAAUCUGCCCUUUGGUUCGGAAUAACAGUUGGAAACGACUGCUAAUACCGGAUGAUGACGAAAGUCCAAAGAUUUAUCGCCAGAGGAUGAGCCCGCGUAGGAUUAGCUAGUUGGUGUGGUAAAGGCGCACCAAGGCGACGGUCCUUAGCUGGUCUGAGAGGAUGAUCAGCCACACCGGGAAUGAGACACGGCCCAGACUGCUACUGGAGGCAGCAGUGGGGAAUAUUGCACAAUGGGCGAAAGCCUGAUCCAGCGAUGCCGCGUGAGUGAUGAAGGCCUUAGGGUUGUAAAGCUCUUUUACCCGGGAUGAUAAUGACAGUAGCGAGAGAAUAAGCUCCGGCUAACUCCGUGCCAGCAGCCGCAGUAA
RNAcentral lists this ribosomal RNA (449 nucleotides) under uncultured bacterium. RNAcentral describes it as "partial 16S ribosomal RNA". It matches the Rfam family "Bacterial small subunit ribosomal RNA", at positions 29 to 523 of the family's 1533-position model. The record is from RNAcentral.